This is a long non-coding RNA of Equus quagga, 1547 nucleotides long. RefSeq lists it as uncharacterized. The transcript is spliced from 3 exons. NCBI's taxonomy places the organism in Eukaryota, Metazoa, Chordata, Mammalia, Perissodactyla, Equidae. The record is from RefSeq and is a predicted model, not a curated record.
CUAAUGUUGGUCUGUUCUUUCUACUUUAAAAUUUGUAUUUUACCUAUUUUUAAUUUGGCUACUGCAAAAUUUAGUUAUGUAUGUGGCUUGCAGUAGUGGCUUGCAUUUUCUUUCUAUUGGACAGCACUAUUUUCGACAGCCCAGCCAGCUGCGGCUUCUACAGAACUUAUUCCAUAAGGUCACUGUAGUUUCUUUACCUCGAAAAGCAAACAGAUUCACUCCUACUCUGGUUCUGGAUUUUGCGGGGCUACGAGCUGCCCCAGAGUCCUUGAGGAAGUGUCAGUGCUGUGGGCUCGUCAUCGGGGCUGGAGCUGACUUGAGGCUCUCUUCCAGCUCCCACAUCUGGCUCACCCUGUGCCACGAAGCCAUCACCAGAGUCCAACACAAAGCCCUCCUCCAACCCUAGACCAGUCACAAUGUGUCCACAUCACUCAAAACUCCACACAGAUCAUUUCCCCUUGAAACAAUGGAACAGGUGUUGCUACAAACUGCCAAGCUGUUACCACCUGUGCAACUGGUCAGAGCGGACCACAGAAAGGGAACCGCCUGGGCUGCAGUCUGAGACACCCCUUCCUUCUGUCACCUCAGCUCAGGCCUCGCUGGUUUCUCCUUCCCAGAGACUGGAGCCCCUCCUUCUUGUGGAGCUAGGCUCAGAGACAGACUGAGCUCCUUUGCAGUUUUCAGCACAGCGGUGGGGAGCCAACGCUGAUGCUGGGAACUUCAGAACAGAAGACAGGUGCCAGGCCCUCCAAUUCUGGAGAAAACUGCUGGACACUGAAGAUACCGGGGCAAAAUUCGAACCUCAGAAUCCUGCCCCCUUUUUUAAAAAAAAAAUAUAAACGUUUUAUCCCCGUGAAGACUCAACACUGGCUAUGACAGGCGUGGAGGUGGAGCGGGGUUCACAUCUCCCUUCUACCACUCAGCAGCCGUAGGACCCUGGAGAAGGCUGCUGCAUUCGUCUAGGUCUCAGUGUCCUCAUCUGGAACAAUGGGGACAGUUCCACCUACCUCACAGAACUGAAAAAUUAAACCAUGGAUGAAAAAGUGCCUUGCACAUGGUAAGUGUUCAAUAGACAUUAGCUUCCAUCCCUUCAAUUUUCCCAUAGCAAUUAGGCAAAGCAGAUAGUAAAAACCUUGUGGGGAACUGAAACGAAAUCCUCUAUACUCUGCUCUGUUUUUUGCAGGUUUUUUUCUGGUUUUGUUUGUUUGUUUGUUUUCAAUCUGAAUCUUGGUGCCUGGUACAAUUUAAAAACCCAGGUACAGGAACUCUGCCACGGCAAGGACGAUCUUUGCAGCCCUCACAUAGCAUCUGGCCAAAGGCGAGCGCCAGCUACAGCCCAGCUGCUCCAGUGUGGUCUGGGGACAGCAGUGUGGGCAUCCUCUGGAAGCUUCUUCCAAGGGCAGCAGCCCAGCCCCAACCUGGACCUACUGAAUUAGAGGCUGCAUUUCAGAGAUCUCCAGCUCCUGACGACUUGUGUGUAUCUCUGUAUUCAGCGGAGCAUUUAGAGAGAGAAGCUAUACAGCGCAAGCUCUCAACACCUUUUGGGA